This 385-nucleotide ribosomal RNA is filed under the name uncultured bacterium. RNAcentral describes it as "bacterial SSU rRNA". It matches the Rfam family "Bacterial small subunit ribosomal RNA", at positions 355 to 737 of the family's 1533-position model. The record is from RNAcentral.
UAAGGAAUAUUGGUCAAUGGACGCAAGUCUGAACCAGCCAUGCCGCGUGAAGGAUUAAGGUCCCCUGGAUUGUAAACUUCUUUUAUCUGGGACGAAAAAAGGCUUUUCUAAGUCACUUGACGGUACCAGAUGAAUAAGCACCGGCUAACUCCGUGCCAGCAGCCGCGGUAAUACGGAGGGUGCAAGCGUUAUCCGGAUUCACUGGGUUUAAAGGGUGCGUAGGCGGGCAGGUAAGUCAGUGGUGAAAUCCUGGAGCUUAACUCCAGAACUGCCAUUGAUACUAUCUGUCUUGAAUAUUGUGGAGGUAAGCGGAAUAUGUCAUGUAGCGGUGAAAUGCUUAGAUAUGACAUAGAACACCUAUUGCGAAGGCAGCUUACUACGCAUA